UCGGAUUGUAGUCUGCAACCCGAACUACAUGAAGCUGGAAUCGCUAGUAAUCGCGGAUCAGAAUGCCGCGGUGAAUACGUUCCCGGGUCUUGUACACACCGCCCGUCACACCAUGGGAGGUCGGAAAUGCCCGAAGUCUGUGACCCAACCUUAGGGAGGGAGCAGCCGAAGGCAGGUCGGAUGACUGGGGUGAAGUCGUAACAAGGUACC
This 210-nucleotide ribosomal RNA is filed under the name uncultured bacterium. RNAcentral describes it as "partial 16S ribosomal RNA". It matches the Rfam family "Bacterial small subunit ribosomal RNA", at positions 1293 to 1500 of the family's 1533-position model. The record is from RNAcentral.